This is a non-coding RNA of Pangasius djambal, 73 nucleotides long. The record is from the annotation of a GenBank genome assembly. Lineage: Eukaryota; Metazoa; Chordata; Actinopteri; Siluriformes; Pangasiidae.
ACCUGGCUAGCUCAGCUGGUAGAGCAUGAGACUCUUGAUCUCAGGAUCAUGGGUUUGAGCCCCAAGCUGGGUG